RNAcentral lists this unclassified non-coding RNA (947 nucleotides) under Hevea brasiliensis (rubber tree). The record is from RNAcentral. Lineage: Eukaryota; Viridiplantae; Streptophyta; Magnoliopsida; Malpighiales; Euphorbiaceae.
AUUGGAGUGGAUUUUUCAUUGUUGUAGUAGCUGUUAUUGGAUUCUAUUUGGUCACUGAUAUAAAGGAGAGGAAAGGUGGAGUUGGGUGCUUUGUGUUUGUUUGUUUUGGAAAAGCAAAGGGGAAACUAUGCUUAAAUGAGCUAAAGAGUAGUGUUGAAGCUGAAACCGUUAAUAAAGUUCUAAUCUUUUGAAUUUUUUCCUUCAUUUUCUUCGCAACUAAACAGCAGGUCACCAGGUACUUGGUUUUUUAGCUAGUUGAGUUAAUGUUAUUUUAGUUCUGAAAAGGAAAGCGAGUGGGCUUAACUUGUUUUCUCUUGUUACGUGAUCUUGGAUUAGUUGGAUCAAAGGGAAAUAGCGAAAGCAGGUGUUUAGUGGUGGUUUGCUAGUUUAGUUGAGGCUGGGGUUUUAGCCCUUUUGGGUUUCUGCCCUUCUGUUUAUUUCACUUUUGUUCUAGUUGUGUUCUAUGGAAGUUAAGGCAUAGAAAAGUCGGUUGCGCCCUUACUGUCUGUUUGGUUGCUCAGAAAAUGAGAUAACUUAAGGGGAAGAAAACUUGAAUGCAAUGGUGCUAUAUUUUUUAGGUUUCCCUGAUUUUAUCUUGUUGAUUUUUGGGGUUAACAGAAUUUAGUAUUGGUAUUUAUUUUUAUAUAUCGGGUUUACUUUUUUAUUAAGAUCUGCCAAUCCAAAUGGGUUGUCAUUUGACUGAUUCCGUUUACAGUAUGACUAUGGUCUAUAUUUAACUGAUUUGCACAUUAUAUGUUUUGAUAUUGCAAUUUUAUUAAGUAACAAUUUUACAUUUCUUUUUGAUGGUUUCUUUUCUGUUAGUAUACAAUGUAUAAUGGUACAGGAAUCAAAGUGUAUGCUUUAUUAUUUGGGAAUUGUAUUCCUUUGUUUUCAUUAUCCUUGACUUGUUAUGCAGGAGAUGUUUUUUCAUUGAUGAUGAUAACUGA